RNAcentral lists this transfer RNA (73 nucleotides) under uncultured archaeon. RNAcentral's name for it is "tRNA-Thr(cgt)". It matches the Rfam family "tRNA". From Rfam's summary of the family: Transfer RNA (tRNA) molecules are approximately 80 nucleotides in length. The record is from RNAcentral.
GCCCCGGUAGCUCAUCGGUAGAGCGCCUGUCUCGUAAACAGGAGGCAGAGGGUUCAAUUCCCUCUCGGGGCUC